RNAcentral lists this ribosomal RNA (677 nucleotides) under Mycobacterium virginiense. RNAcentral describes it as "Mycolicibacter virginiensis bacterial SSU rRNA". It matches the Rfam family "Bacterial small subunit ribosomal RNA", at positions 34 to 712 of the family's 1533-position model. The record is from RNAcentral. Lineage: Bacteria; Bacillati; Actinomycetota; Actinomycetes; Mycobacteriales; Mycobacteriaceae.
CGCUGGCGGCGUGCUUAACACAUGCAAGUCGAACGGAAAGGCCCCUUCGGGGGUACUCGAGUGGCGAACGGGUGAGUAACACGUGGGUGAUCUGCCCUGCACUUUGGGAUAAGCCUGGGAAACUGGGUCUAAUACCGAAUAGGACCACGCGCUUCAUGGUGUGUGGUGGAAAGCUUUUGCGGUGUGGGAUGGGCCCGCGGCCUAUCAGCUUGUUGGUGGGGUAAUGGCCUACCAAGGCGACGACGGGUAGCCGGCCUGAGAGGGUGUCCGGCCACACUGGGACUGAGAUACGGCCCAGACUCCUACGGGAGGCAGCAGUGGGGAAUAUUGCACAAUGGGCGCAAGCCUGAUGCAGCGACGCCGCGUGGGGGAUGACGGCCUUCGGGUUGUAAACCUCUUUCAGUAUCGGCGAAGCUCCAGGAUUCUUCUUGGGGUGACGGUAGGUACAGAAGAAGCACCGGCCAACUACGUGCCAGCAGCCGCGGUAAUACGUAGGGUGCGAGCGUUGUCCGGAAUUACUGGGCGUAAAGAGCUCGUAGGUGGUUUGUCACGUUGUCCGUGAAAACUCACAGCUUAACUGUGGGCGUGCGGGCGAUACGGGCAGACUGGAGUACUGUAGGGGAGACUGGAAUUCCUGGUGUAGCGGUGGAAUGCGCAGAUAUCAGGAGGAACACCGG